Cinara cedri is the source of this 690-nucleotide non-coding RNA. The record is from the annotation of a GenBank genome assembly. Lineage: Eukaryota; Metazoa; Arthropoda; Insecta; Hemiptera; Aphididae.
ACGAAUUAUUACAUCGCGCACCAUAAUUUAUUACACGCAGUGUAGAUUAUACCGGCGAAUGUUUUACACGCAAUACUCUAAAACCUGUUGCUCGAUUUAAUAACAACAAUAAUUAAUAACAGGCACAAAAUAUUAUAAGGUAUGUUUUAAUAUUAUAUUAGCCGCGUUUUCGCCGACGAUCCUGUUACGAUAUUAUUUACUAACACCUUCGAUAUUCGAUAUUAUAAGAAUAUUACCAAUAUUGAUUGGAAUCAACGCAACUAUGCAGAAAUCUAGAAUCAAGAAUAACAAUCAUAAUAUUAUUAAUUAUUAUCAUGUCAAUAAGGUCGGGUAUAAUAAUCGUAAAAAUUAUCAUAACACUAUUACUUCAUGAUAGAAAAAUAAUUGUUCGUAAAUUUCACGUUAAAAAGAUAAAAAACAUACGGAUAUAUUUCUCACGGUGGGUGACCCACCACUGUUGUAAGUGAGAAAUUUGGACGGUAAGAUAUGGAGGGUUCUGAGCGGAAUUUGGUUGAUAGUGUUGCUUUGUCAUAUUAUGGUAAAAUAAUUGCAUAUGCAUUAUAUAGUUUCUUUAAUAUCAUUUGUUUAAUAUUGUACCUAAUUUUCGGUUAUUCUCAUUUAUUGGGAAAACUUUUGGGAAAAUCAAAAAAAUGACCUUGCUUAAGAGCCUCCACGGUUCGAUUUUUUUUU